Molecule: ribosomal RNA, 427 nt
Filed under: uncultured bacterium
Lineage: Bacteria
Description: partial 16S ribosomal RNA
Rfam family: Bacterial small subunit ribosomal RNA
Source: RNAcentral
UGGGGAAUAUUGCACAAUGGGCGCAAGCCUGAUGCAGCCAUGCCGCGUGUAUGAAGAAGGCCUUCGGGUUGUAAAGUACUUUCAGCGAGGAGGAAGGCGUUGUGGUUAAUAACCUUGUCGAUUGACGUUACCCGCAGAAGAAGCACCGGCUAACUCCGUGCCAGCAGCCGCGGUAAUACGGAGGGUGCAAGCGUUAAUCGGAAUUACUGGGCGUAAAGCGCACGCAGGCGGUCUGUCAAGUCGGAUGUGAAAUCCCCGGGCUCAACCUGGGAACUGCAUUCGAAACUGGCAGGCUAGAGUCUUGUAGAGGGGGGUAGAAUUCCAGGUGUAGCGGUGAAAUGCGUAGAGAUCUGGAGGAAUACCGGUGGCGAAGGCGGCCCCCUGGACAAAGACUGACGCUCAGGUGCGAAAGCGUGGGGAGCAAACA